This is a long non-coding RNA of Xiphophorus couchianus (Monterrey platyfish), 1199 nucleotides long. RefSeq lists it as uncharacterized. Lineage: Eukaryota; Metazoa; Chordata; Actinopteri; Cyprinodontiformes; Poeciliidae. The transcript has 3 exons. The record is from RefSeq and is a predicted model, not a curated record.
UGGCAACGUCAUCCACCAAUCACAAGGAGGGAAAACGCUUGGCUAAAUGAGUGAAAUCCUCAGCUGCGCAAAAAGUGAAGGAAAGUCCGCCUGUUUUCCACAGGGUAUCCAAGUAGGUAGAAAAGUUUAAAAAUAAUGAGGAAUCACAACAAUGUAAUGCAAGAACAAUGGAUUACAUGACCUGAGUGGAAAUAUUUACUCUAAUAUGGAUUAUGACCAUUAAACAGCAAAGAUUCAAAGCAGCAUGUCAGUGGGAAGGAGCUCCUGUUUCUUCCAACAUCAGAUACCUACGCGCUUGUUUACUGUUGCUGGCGCUGGGAGAGACGCAUUUCAAAUCUCAAAGCAAGCAAAGCUGCAAUAACAGCUGUUGUUUGGACAUCUUUUCACCGCUCAGAAAACUGGAAAGGAUCUGCAUAUCCUCAGUCAUCUCUCGUCCUGAUUGUGACAGAAAUAAUCACAUAAGAUUUCAAUACUUUCCUAAAUUGAAAUGCGAAUAAAAGUCUCCUCUGUGUGAGGAAGUGAAACGGAUAACUUAGUUCCUGUCACUGCGAUCAGCAAGAGAAGGGAAUGCUGAACAUAUUUGUUCCGCCUAAUUAAACACAGAGAUAUGAAGCACAUUGCAGACUCUUUCUUGACCUAUUUUGUAUCUGCAGUUUGUAAAUUUAGUGCAGGUGUUCAGUGUUUUGGGCUCACAGGCUUCAGACAGCAGAAACUGCAGCAUGCUCUAUGUGGGCACUGCUAAACAAGUUACUGCUCUGAAAGACAAAGUGCUGUAAUUUCCUCUGGGACAACUGAGAGCCUUUAAUUAUUCAUAAAUUAAUAGACUGUAAAACUGUGUGUGUCCCUAGACGGCAACUUUAUGUCUUAUAUUUUACCAUUUUACUUUGGUUGUACAGUGAAAAAAAACAACAAAAAACUUUACUGUCAUAUAAAUAUCUAAGGGAGUUUAACAAGAGAGAUCUGAAAGGUAACUAUAGGGCUUUGAUUUCAACAUUGUAAUCUAGAGAUUAUGGGGAUAAAACAUGUAACUGUUUUUUAUGUAUCUUAGCCUGACUAACCAAACUUUAUUGUCAAAGACAUCUUACUUCCUCAGUUUAUUAAUGUGAAGGAUGCUUAGUUCUAAGAUUGACUUGCUAAGGGAAUUGUACAACUGUAGUAAACAUAAAUCAACUACAUUUUAUGGUAAACACUCUAAUAAU